Molecule: ribosomal RNA, 92 nt
Filed under: Acanthosepion pharaonis
Lineage: Eukaryota; Metazoa; Mollusca; Cephalopoda; Sepiida; Sepiidae
Source: RNAcentral
CACCGGUUCCUGUACAAUCACCGAAGUUAAGCAACGUCAAGCCUGGUCAGUACCUAAAUGGGUGACUGCUUGGGAAUGUUAGGUGCUGCAAA